RNAcentral lists this ribosomal RNA (261 nucleotides) under uncultured bacterium. RNAcentral describes it as "partial 16S ribosomal RNA". It matches the Rfam family "Bacterial small subunit ribosomal RNA", at positions 524 to 784 of the family's 1533-position model. The record is from RNAcentral.
UACGUAGGGUGCAGGCGUUAAUCGGAAUUACUGGGCGUAAAGCGUGCGCAGGCGGCUUCCUAAGUCAGAUGUGAAAUCCCCGGGCUUAACCCGGGAACUGCGUUUGAAACUGGGAGGCUAGAGUGCGGCAGAGGGAGGUGGAAUUCCACGUGUAGCAGUGAAAUGCGUAGAUAUGCGGAGGAACACCGAUGGCGAAGGCAAUCCCCUGGGCCUGUACUGACGCUCAUGCACGAAAGCGUGGGGAGCAAACAGGAUUAGAUA